AUGAACGCUGGCGGCGUGCCUAAUACAUGCAAGUCGAGCGAACAGACGAGGAGCUUGCUCCUUUGACGUUAGCGGCGGACGGGUGAGUAACACGUGGAUAACCUACCUAUAAGACUGGGAUAACUUCGGGAAACCGGAGCUAAUACCGGAUAACAUGUUGAACCGCAUGGUUCAACAGUGAAAGACGGUCUUGCUGUCACUUAUAGAUGGAUCCGCGCCGCAUUAGCUAGUUGGUAAGGUAACGGCUUACCAAGGCAACGAUGCGUGGCCGACCUGAGAGGGUGAUCGGCCACACUGGAACUGAGACACGGUCCAGACUCCUACGGGAGGCAGCAGUAGGGAAUCUUCCGCAAUGGGCGAAAGCCUGACGGAGCAACCCCGCGUGAGUGAAGAAGGUCUUCGGAUCGUAAAACUCUGUUAUUAGGGAAGAACAAAUGUGUAAGUAACUAUGCACGUCUUGACGGUACCUAAUCAGAAAGCCACGGCUAACUACGUG
RNAcentral lists this ribosomal RNA (496 nucleotides) under uncultured bacterium. RNAcentral describes it as "partial 16S ribosomal RNA". It matches the Rfam family "Bacterial small subunit ribosomal RNA", at positions 29 to 507 of the family's 1533-position model. The record is from RNAcentral.